CAUUUAUUUUCUAUAAAUGCCUUGGCAUUUAUAUUGCAACAGGAGACUAUUCAGUGACAUUAUCUGAUAAAUAUCAUGUUAUACAGCUGCAAUUUACAAUGCAUAUAUUUUUAACAGUGCUUCUAAGCUAAAUUAAAUGCUUCUAAAAUAUGGUACUUACAGAAAACAAAUGUCUGUUCUAGCAAUUUUGUUUUUCAGGGUACACUAUUUUUUUAUAACCAGAUACCAUCUUUAUCCUGUCAGGCAGUAAAUUAUGCACUUGCACUUUCAUAAACUCUCCCCUUGGGAACUUAGUCAAUGAAAUGGAAAUGUCUUUUUCACACCCUCCAACUUCAGAGAAAUACAGGGAAAUAGCCAACUUGGUUAUAAACUGAACGUCUAGAGGGAAUCCAUAUAAAAUGUGGAUUAAUGCAGUCCUGAUGCAUGUAUUGUUUAGCAUAUGUACCAUUCACUCAAAUGGCGCAUUGAAUUGUGACUCAGAUCCUUAAUGUCUUUUUUUUUUUUUUUUUUAAUUGGGAGAGUAAUUGCAUGUUCUGUGAUGGGAUCUGCAGGUAGGAAGACACCCACUGGCCCCUGGCUGUUAACCUUCCUCCCAAGGCACGGCAGCUGUGGAAGGAAGAAAACUGUUGGCCUGCUCAGGGGAGUAAAACACAACAGAUUUUACACCUAGGUGGAUCUUUCCCUGGGUUGUGAGUUUAUUUUGAUACCAAAUUUCUAGCUACUGAAGGUAAUUGAGAUUGCAAACAAAAUCUCACUAUCCACUGAUCUGCCAAAUCAAAUUUUCUUCUCCUACUACUCGCGCUCCCUUGGAUCCGUCCUAUCCGUAUGUUUGGUGCCAACGUACUGCAAUAAUCAAAGUUGAUGCCAACAAGGAAACUGGGUUUUCUUCUUCCUCUCGAGUGAGAUCUGUCUACACUGAGAUUUUGAGAUUUUCACUGGUCUCAAGUCCUGUUGAGAAGUUUAAUUAACCCCAAGUGUUGGGAGAUGAACUAUUUUGUACGCUCCUUCUCCUGAAGUUGCUUCAAGCAUUUUGUAAUCAUAGCUCUAGGGUGAGCCAAUUCAUCCCUAAACCCAACGUAUUCACACCUAGUCAGGCCACCUCUCCCAGAGCCUGGUAGCAGCCCUGGAACAAGAGCAGUGGGAGCAACAGCUCUGCAGCACUUUGGGGAGGGGAUUUAACUCUGCAGAACUCAUACAAAACUCAUAAAGACUCUGUCCUUCACUUCAAAACAUCUGCUAAUUCUACUUACGUGCUCAUCAUCGAAAGGUUGCCUAUAUUUUUCUUUUAGGUUUACAAAAAUAAGCAUUGGUGAAUGAAGAUGAAAGGAAAAUGUUCCUGGUUCCUUCCCUGGAGAUCGUAUUUCUUACUUGUUGCAUAACUGCUUAUUUUAGCAUCAGUCAGCCGAGCCUUUGUUGUGUAGACAAUUCUGUCCUUUUAGAGGAUUUGUGCAGUAUUAUUUCUUCCAAAAUGCUUUUUUUGUUUUUAUUAUUACAUUUAUUUCUUCUCUUAGCAAAUCCCAACUGACAACACCCUGUCAGAGCAUGUGAUAUAUAAAUGUCAUACUAUGUAAACUGAGUAUCCUAUGUAUCAUAUACAUGACCUUUCUGUAGAACCAUCCAUCAGGUGUUAUCUCUGUGUAUUUUAUAUGUAUGUGUUACAUACAUGCAUUUGUGUACAAGUUUUGUUGAAGUGUGCAUAUAUGGUAGCCAAAAAUCUGUUAAGCAUGCAUUCACUCCUGGCCAGGAAAGUACUCAAAAUGCAGAAAUGUCCGAAGUCUUCUUGUCCAUGCAACUUAAUC
Molecule: long non-coding RNA, 1799 nt
Organism: Tyto alba (common barn owl)
Lineage: Eukaryota; Metazoa; Chordata; Aves; Strigiformes; Tytonidae
Exons: 3
Source: RefSeq, a predicted model, not a curated record